CCCCGUGGCUCAGUUGGUAGAGCAUGGUGUUUGCAACGCCAGGGUUGUGGGUUCGAUUCCCACGGGGG
This 68-nucleotide transfer RNA is filed under the name Salmo salar (Atlantic salmon). It matches the Rfam family "tRNA". From Rfam's summary of the family: Transfer RNA (tRNA) molecules are approximately 80 nucleotides in length. Lineage: Eukaryota; Metazoa; Chordata; Actinopteri; Salmoniformes; Salmonidae. RNAcentral also lists the same sequence under 1 other name. The record is from Rfam by way of RNAcentral.